GACGAACGCUGGCGGCGUGCUUAACACAUGCAAGUCGAACGCUGAAGCUCAGCUUUUGUUGGGUGGAUGAGUGGCGAACGGGUGAGUAACACGUGAGUAACCUGCCUCCUUCUUUGGGAUAACGCCCGGAAACGGGUGCUAAUACUGGAUAUUCACUGGUCUUCGCAUGGGGGUUGGUGGAAAGGGUUUUUCUGGUGGGGGUUGGGCUCGCGGCCUAUCAGCUUGUUGGUGGGGUGAUGGCCUACCAAGGCUUUGACGGGUAGCCGGCCUGAGAGGGUGACCGGUCACAUUGGGACUGAGAUACGGCCCAGACUCCUACGGGAGGCAGCAGUGGGGAAUAUUGCACAAUGGGCGCAAGCCUGAUGCAGCGACGCCGCGUGAGGGAUGGAGGCCUUCGGGUUGUGAACCUCUUUCGCUCAUGGUCAAGCCGCAACAAUGGUUGUGGUGAGGGUAGUGGGUAAAGAAGCGCCGGCUAACUACGUG
This 483-nucleotide ribosomal RNA is filed under the name uncultured bacterium. Its description in RNAcentral is "partial 16S ribosomal RNA". It matches the Rfam family "Bacterial small subunit ribosomal RNA", at positions 28 to 507 of the family's 1533-position model. The record is from RNAcentral.